AAUAAGUGCAGUUUUGCACUAUUCAUGUUCAACGUUUGACCGUCUGUCUUAUUUGAAGAUUUUUUAUGAUUAGUAUUUUUAUUGCUAUUAGAUGAUAAAACAUGAAUAGUACUUUAUGUGCGACUAAAUGUUUUUAAUUUUUCACAAAUUUUUCAAAUAAGACGGACGGUCAAAUGUUGAACGUGAAUAGUGCAAAACUGCACUUAUU
Molecule: microRNA precursor, 208 nt
Organism: Oryza sativa Japonica Group (Japanese rice)
Lineage: Eukaryota; Viridiplantae; Streptophyta; Magnoliopsida; Poales; Poaceae
Rfam family: MIR812 microRNA precursor family
Source: Rfam